ACGCUGGCGGCAUGCCUUACACAUGCAAGUCGAACGGCAGCACGGGGCAACCCUGGUGGCGAGUGGCGAACGGGUGAGUAAUACAUCGGAACGUGCCCUGUCGUGGGGGAUAACUAGUCGAAAGAUUAGCUAAUACCGCAUACGACCUGAGGGUGAAAGCGGGGGACCGUAAGGCCUCGCGCGAUAGGAGCGGCCGAUGUCUGAUUAGCUAGUUGGUGGGGUAAAAGCCUACCAAGGCGACGAUCAGUAGCUGGUCUGAGAGGACGAUCAGCCACACUGGGACUGAGACACGGCCCAGACUCCUACGGGAGGCAGCAGUGGGGAAUUUUGGACAAUGGGGGCAACCCUGAUCCAGCAAUGCCGCGUGUGUGAAGAAGGCCUCGGGUUGUAAAGCACUUUGUCCGGAAAGAAAUCCUUUGGGUUAAUACCUCGGAGGGAUGACGGUACCGGAAGAAUAAGCACCGGCUAACUACGUGCCAGCAGCCGCGGUAAUACGUAGGGUGCGAGCGUUAAUCGGAAUUACUGGGCGUAAAGCGUGCGCAGGCGGUUUUGUAAGACAGGCGUGAAAUCCCCGAGCUCAACUUGGGAAUGGCGCUUGUGACUGCAAGGCUAGAGUAUGUCAGAGGGGGGUAGAAUUCCACGUGUAGCAGUGAAAUGCGUAGAGAUGUGGAGG
RNAcentral lists this ribosomal RNA (673 nucleotides) under Cupriavidus sp. UYMU48A. Its description in RNAcentral is "bacterial SSU rRNA". It matches the Rfam family "Bacterial small subunit ribosomal RNA", at positions 33 to 704 of the family's 1533-position model. Lineage: Bacteria; Pseudomonadati; Pseudomonadota; Betaproteobacteria; Burkholderiales; Burkholderiaceae. The record is from RNAcentral.